This is a non-coding RNA of Corylus avellana, 1895 nucleotides long. NCBI's taxonomy places the organism in Eukaryota, Viridiplantae, Streptophyta, Magnoliopsida, Fagales, Betulaceae. The record is from RefSeq and is a predicted model, not a curated record.
UGAAACACAGAGGCUCAAGUUUUGAAUCCAGUCAACCUUCCUUUCACUGCAAAUGUGCUACAUUCUUUACACGUAAUGAAGGUAGUGUGGCAACUCAAAGGAAGGUGCGACUAUCAAAAAGGAAGGUGCUUAUAGCUAAAAGGAUUGUGGAACAAGCAAAAAAGAAACAACGGAAUAAAUUCCUUGCGAAACAGAAGAGAAGAAAAAAUCAGGCCUGUGAAUCAAUAGAAGAAGAAGGAAUGAAUACAAGUGAAGUUCCAUUGAAUUCGACAACUUGUAUUCAUCACGGUCGGGAAAUUGGAACUGAAGAUAGUGUAAUGGCUCAGGGUUCACAAGAAAUCACAAAGCUUAUUGCAGCUGGGACGGAGAAGUUGGCAUUAGCACCUGAUGGUGGUGGCACUUUUGAUUGUGCUACAAGUUUCAACCUCUUCAACUAGGCGAUUGAACAUGCUGUUUUGUUUCUUUUUGAAAGCACUACUCUUUUUUGUUCAACUAGUGCUUUUAGUAGAUGAUACUACCUUUUGAGUAUGUAGUUGUCUAAUGGUAGUGUACAGUUUUUGUAGUAUCAAUUAGUUGGAAUGGUGUAUAGUUUUUGUAAGUAUGGAAUAGUUGGAAUGGUGUAUGGUUUUUGUAAGUACUGAACUUGUGGAAUGAUUUUUGUAUGGUUUUAUUAAGCGUUGAAAAGAUGGACGCCACUUUCGACUACAAGAGGGAUCUCAUGAAUGAUGGAACAUGUUGGAAGGUCUUGGAGCUUGGGGGCAGUGUUGUUGAAAGGGUGAUGAAUGAAGAUUGAUGGGUUUUUGCAGUUUUGGGGUUUGAAUUUGAUUUUAGCAGGAUGUCAUUGUGGCUGACCCAUCGUCAAAAGUUGUUCUUUUCUUUCUUUUGGUGACGUUAAAAAAGGACUAGGGAAAUCAUUGGCUUCUCCUCUCUUGACCUUUGGUUCUGCAACACCCUUCUGCUUUUCCGCUGUGUGGAUCUUAGGUCCGCUAAGGCCUGUGAACUUGGACUGUUCAAUUAUAAAGCCAAGCAUGUGUUUUACCCCCUUGAGAGAAGUAAGUUUUGGUGCCGUUAUGACUACUAUUGGGCUUCAAUAUUCAAGGUUGAUGUGCAGCAUGUGCUUAUGUGUUGAUUGUUGUGGGGCUUUACUCAGUGCUAUGGGGAAAGCACAAAGAGAGCAUGGAGAAUAAAGAAGAGAAGAUAUCGAAUGCUAUAAAGGGUGCUCAAGUAUGCAGUUUCAGGAAUCAAAGAUAUUUGUAGAAUGAGUUUUCUUUGUAGAUUCUGGAUAAUGGUCCAUGGAAUUACAACUUCUUUAGUAUGAAGUAUGGGGUGAAGCUGGGUACAACAAUACUAGUGUUGAUAAAAUGAUGUUAAGAAUUGAGCCUUUUCAUAUAGCUUUCGGAGCAAAAAAAUUUAGAAAUUCGACCAUUCCAUAAAUUUGUGUAGUGUAUACAUUUUGAACCUUCCCUCACUUCUAAUCGAUUUGUUGCAUAUUGCUUUUAUGUGAUGGGAUUUUUGAUGGCUUGCAUGAAUGCCUGAGGCAUUAAGUCCAUUGAUUUAGUGAGAUUGACAGACCAAUCUUUUACUUCAUUACAACUUGUAGGACAUAAGGAUUGAGCUUUUUCUUGUCCUCUUAAAAGGAUGGCAUUAUAAUUAAGGAGAAUGUGCAGGCUAUUUUGUCAAUUCUAUCUUUCAUAACAAAACAAAACAAUUACAAUAAAUACUCCAGUAUAAACUGGAUCACAAGUACUCCAAUCUAAAACUAUACUUUUGAAGAACACCAACAGAAGUCAUUAAAUAGCAUCUUCUACACAACCCAAAAUUGCCUUUUAUCUUUAUCAUGACUUCAUCCACAUAUAUGAUCUUUUCAUGCAGCUGCAGCAAGGUCUUUGGGCAUG